Molecule: long non-coding RNA, 200 nt
Filed under: Elaeis guineensis (African oil palm)
Lineage: Eukaryota; Viridiplantae; Streptophyta; Magnoliopsida; Arecales; Arecaceae
Description: long non-coding RNA (EGUI_LNC029703)
Source: RNAcentral
GCCCUCCUCUUACUCAUGCCGUCCUUCUAAGGCAUUGACCAUCCGAGGAAAGAAGAACAUUUGAAAAAAAUCUUGAAGUUUAAGAUAAUUACCAAACCUACUAUCCAAUUCAUUGAAUUCAAUACUAAAACGAAUUUUAAAUUUGUUAUAUUUAAUAUACUAGUGACACAUAUAGCUAGUUUUUUUGGUAUAACAACCAA